CAAUAGCGUAUAUUAAAGUUGUUGCAGUUAAAAAGCUCGUAGUUGGAUUUCUGGUGGGAGCGAUCGGUCUGGCGCUUAGCGCGAGUACUUGCAUCGUCUCCGGCCAUCCUUGGGGAGAGUCUGUCUGGCAUUAGGUUGUCGGGCAGAGGAUCCUCAUCGUUUACUGUGAAAAAAUUAGAGUGUUCAAAGCAGGCUUAUGCCGUUGAAUAUAUUAGCAUGGAAUAAUAAGAUAGGACUUUGGUACUAUUUUGUUGGUUUGCGCACCAAAGUAAUGAUUAAUAGGGACAGUUGGGGGUAUUCGUAUUCCGUUGUCAGAGGUGAAAUUCUUGGAUUUACGGAAGACGAACUACUGCGAAAGCAUUGACCAAGGAUGUUUUCAUGAA
RNAcentral lists this ribosomal RNA (383 nucleotides) under uncultured eukaryote. Its description in RNAcentral is "partial 18S ribosomal RNA". It matches the Rfam family "Eukaryotic small subunit ribosomal RNA", at positions 592 to 976 of the family's 1831-position model. The record is from RNAcentral.